Gorilla gorilla gorilla (western lowland gorilla) is the source of this 107-nucleotide small nuclear RNA. The record is from Ensembl. NCBI's taxonomy places the organism in Eukaryota, Metazoa, Chordata, Mammalia, Primates, Hominidae.
GUGCUCUCUUUGGCAGCACAUAUACUGAAAUUGAAAUGACACAGAGGAGAUUAGCAUGGCCCGUGUGCAAGGAUGACAUGCAAAUUUGUGAAGCCUUCCAUAUAAUA